AGUGAACGCUGGCGGUAGGCCUAACACAUGCAAGUCGAACGGCAGCACAGUAAGAGCUUGCUCUUACGGGUGGCGAGUGGCGGACGGGUGAGGAAUACAUCGGAAUCUACUUUUUCGUGGGGGAUAACGUAGGGAAACUUACGCUAAUACCGCAUACGACCUACGGGUGAAAGCAGGGGAUCUUCGGACCUUGCGCGAUUGAAUGAGCCGAUGUCGGAUUAGCUAGUUGGCGGGGUAAAGGCCCACCAAGGCGACGAUCCGUAGCUGGUCUGAGAGGAUGAUCAGCCACACUGGAUCUGAGACACGGUCCAGACUCCUACGGGAGGCAGCAGUGGGGAAUAUUGGACAAUGGGCGCAAGCCUGAUCCAGCCAUACCGCGUGGGUGAAGAAGGCCUUCGGGUUGUAAAGCCCUUUUGUUGGGAAGGAAAAGCAGCAGGUUAAUACCCCGCUGUUCUGACGGUACCCAAAGAAUAAGCACCGGCUAACUUCGUG
Molecule: ribosomal RNA, 492 nt
Filed under: uncultured bacterium
Lineage: Bacteria
Description: partial 16S ribosomal RNA
Rfam family: Bacterial small subunit ribosomal RNA
Source: RNAcentral